GCAAAAGCAGUUGGCUUAAAAAACAGCGACCAUCUCUGUUCAUACUCCACAGAAUUGUGGUUUGCUGAUGCUGUGCAACUUCUGUGCAACUUCAUUGCUGACGAGGAUCAGGCAGCCAGGAGCAUCUCCUUAACAUGGAGGGCUGUAGCCUCACUCCAUGGAGAUGAAGGCAAGGAGCAGCUUCAUCUGGACUUUGGGAAAUCCCCCAAGAGAAGAUAAGGAAUACUAAGAUUUUUAUAUGUAGAGGAACUGCUU
This 255-nucleotide long non-coding RNA is filed under the name Numida meleagris (helmeted guineafowl). RNAcentral's name for it is "lncRNA (ENSNMEG00000014886.1)". The record is from RNAcentral. Lineage: Eukaryota; Metazoa; Chordata; Aves; Galliformes; Numididae.